Molecule: non-coding RNA, 789 nt
Organism: Taeniopygia guttata (zebra finch)
Lineage: Eukaryota; Metazoa; Chordata; Aves; Passeriformes; Estrildidae
Source: RefSeq, a predicted model, not a curated record
ACAGCUAAAGGUUCCUAUCUAGCAAAAAAAUACUUCAGUGGCCCUCAGAGGCCUCUCUCUCUCAGUUGUUUCUUUCCCUCCCCUCUGCUCAGGAUAAGACCAGAGCCAAAUGUGUGGUCCCAUGGAUGAUUGCCUGAUCUGAUUGCUGGUGCCAGCAGGACCCUAAAGUUUAAAUGACAGCCAUGGGAUCAGAGGAAAUUAAUAGUCACCUUUCUCCUCUCACCACCCACAACAAAGUGCUGAGGGUUGAGUCCAUUAGCUAAAUGACACCAUGAAUUCUGUGAAGAGAUGAAAUUUUAUUUUAAAAGCCCCAGUCUCUUUUUCACUUUGGGUUUUUGUGAUUCUCUUAUAUCACACCACGCAACAGGCAAGCUGCUUUGGAUUCUGUAUUUCCAGGAGUGACACUGAUUUCAGGAACAUUCCAAGAAGAGCUACCUCACAGAUGAUCAGCUGCAUGAGAACUUCUGAGUGAAAUAUCCAGACCUUGUGCAUCUUAGGAUUGAUGGCUUAAGGAGGAAUACACCAAGUGCUAGGAUAGUGUGGGAAGAAGAUAAAUUGAAAAUCAGACAGUAAGAAAAAGAGAAGGCAUUUUUACUGCACUAUGUUUAUAACUUGUACUCUCUCAGAUACUAAAAAUCCACUGUUUUACUCACAUGUCUGUAAGACAUUAUAGUUUGCCAUGCAUGUCAUGUGCAGUUAUUAAUGUAAUAGCUUCCUCAAGCAAAUGUCUCCUGAAAUUCAGGUUUAGAGUUGCCUGUAAAUUGCAACAAAAUGGAAGAUUUAAUAAAA